GACGAACGCUGGCGGCGUGCUUAACACAUGCAAGUCGAACGCUGAAGCUCAGCUUUUGUUGGGUGGAUGAGUGGCGAACGGGUGGGUAACACGUGAGUAACCUGCCUCCUUCUUUGGGAUAACGCCCGGAAACGGGUGCUAAUACUGGAUAUUCACUGGUCUUCGCAUGGGGGUUGGUGGAAAGGGUUUUUCUGGUGGGGGAUGGGCUCGCGGCCUAUCAGCUUGUUGGUGGGGUGAUGGCCUACCAAGGCUUUGACGGGUAGCCGGCCUGAGAGGGUGACCGGUCACAUUGGGACUGAGAUACGGCCCAGACUCCUACGGGAGGCAGCAGUGGGGAAUAUUGCACAAUGGGCGCAAGCCUGAUGCAGCGACGCCGCGUGAGGGAUGGAGGCCUUCGGGUUGUGAACCUCUUUCGCUCAUGGUCAAGCCGCAACAAUGGUUGUGGUGAGGGUAGUGGGUAAAGAAGCGCCGGCUAACUACGUG
Molecule: ribosomal RNA, 483 nt
Filed under: uncultured bacterium
Lineage: Bacteria
Description: partial 16S ribosomal RNA
Rfam family: Bacterial small subunit ribosomal RNA
Source: RNAcentral